UGACUGCCACAUUACAAAUUAGCAAACAAAGCCAUUUGUGAGCCUUCAGUGCUUGUCAUUGUUAUUCAUGCAAAUCUGCUGCAAUGUGCCAUUUAGGACAGUCAUUGUUGUAACCCAACUACAUGACAAUGUAUGCAAAUAACCAAGAGCCUGAGAUAGAAAGAAAGAAAGAAGAAGUUAGCAUCGAUUUUUUCCCCGUUGUCCACAUCUGCUGGCAUUGAUAGCAGGAAUAUUUAAAAAUAAAUAAGCCAGUCCUCUCGAUGGAUGAAUGAGAGUCUUGCACCCAGGAAAAAACGGAGAAAAACCUGCAGAAGAAAAGGGAACAUGCAGGAAACCAGUUUUCCUUCUGACUGCCUACAGACCACGACGAAGUUCUACUCUGCUCCUUACCAGGCAUUCCAGGCUUUGCUACUUGCAUCAGUGAUGGCUUGGUGUAGAAAGAAAAGCCAACAAGCUCCAGAGUACUCACCAGAAAUUGUGCCCUACUCAAGUCAGGAUGCAAUACUUGCCUUAGUAAUUUUCUCCCUCUUCUCCUUUCUGCCGAUGUGAAUCUACAAUGUUUGGAGGAUGCAAGCCCUGAGUAUGAACAGUAGGCAACCUCUUGUUUGUGUGAUGAGAACCAUAAUUUUGAGGAACUUGGUAGGUUCUUGAAAAGAACAGAAUGGAAACAGAAUCUCAUUUCCUCUUUCUUUGGCAUCCAUUUUUGGUUACUUAUUAAUUCUAAGGGAAGAGUAACACUGGAGAAAAGCAUUCAACACUCAACACUGGCUUUUCUUCUGUAACUCUGAAGUAAGCGCAAUGGUUAAUUAAUGGCCAGAUCUGUGAAUGUGACUAUACGACUGACAUGCGUAGGAGUAAUGACAUGAGUUUGGAAAACUACUUUCAGAGACAAAUAAAGAGUAUUACAUACAUUGCA
This 916-nucleotide long non-coding RNA is filed under the name Calidris pugnax (ruff). Its description in RNAcentral is "lncRNA (ENSCPUG00000006570.1)". Lineage: Eukaryota; Metazoa; Chordata; Aves; Charadriiformes; Scolopacidae. The record is from RNAcentral.